This 227-nucleotide long non-coding RNA is filed under the name Capsicum annuum. RNAcentral describes it as "long non-coding RNA (CANN_LNC008454)". The record is from RNAcentral. Lineage: Eukaryota; Viridiplantae; Streptophyta; Magnoliopsida; Solanales; Solanaceae.
ACAUAUUAUAAUGAAUUUUAUCCAUGAACUCCCAUGAAUUUUAAUUUUUAUACAAUGUUUUCAUGUAUUUUCGUUGGAAUUAGUCCUUACAUAUUUGAAGGGUGAUAUUUUAAUAUUAAAUCCUUAACCCAUGAAUUUAGUAUGGAGGUUAUGUUAUUAUCCCAUGAAUUAAACUAUUACCAUGCUUAAAUCCAUGGAUUUCAAGUGUUUUAUAAAAUGCCUGAUGG